Molecule: ribosomal RNA, 253 nt
Filed under: uncultured bacterium
Lineage: Bacteria
Description: partial 16S ribosomal RNA
Rfam family: Bacterial small subunit ribosomal RNA
Source: RNAcentral
UACGUAGGGUGCGAGCGUUGUCCGGAAUUACUGGGCGUAAAGAGCUCGUAGGUGGUUUGUCGCGUUGUUCGUGAAAACCGGGGGCUUAACCCUCGGCGUGCGGGCGAUACGGGCAGACUAGAGGUAUGCAGGGGAGAACGGAAUUCCUGGUGUAGCGGUGGAAUGCGCAGAUAUCAGGAGGAACACCGGUGGCGAAGGCGGUUCUCUGGGCAUUACCUGACGCUGAGGAGCGAAAGUGUGGGGAGCGAACAGG